CGGGAUAACACCUGGAAACAGAUGCUAAUACCGGAUAACAACAGAUGAUGCCUAUCAACUGUUUAAAAGAUGGUUCUGCUAUCACUCUUGGAUGGACCUGCGGUGCAUUAGCUAGUUGGUAGGGUAACGGCCUACCAAGGCGAUGAUGCAUAGCCGAGUUGAGAGACUGAUCGGCCACAUUGGGACUGAGACACGGCCCAAACUCCUACGGGAGGCAGCAGCG
RNAcentral lists this ribosomal RNA (223 nucleotides) under uncultured Lactobacillus sp. RNAcentral describes it as "partial 16S ribosomal RNA". It matches the Rfam family "Bacterial small subunit ribosomal RNA", at positions 139 to 356 of the family's 1533-position model. The record is from RNAcentral. Lineage: Bacteria; Bacillati; Bacillota; Bacilli; Lactobacillales; Lactobacillaceae.